Molecule: transfer RNA, 69 nt
Filed under: Marmota monax (woodchuck)
Lineage: Eukaryota; Metazoa; Chordata; Mammalia; Rodentia; Sciuridae
Description: tRNA.Ala
Source: RNAcentral
GCUGUAGCUCAGUGGCAGAGUGCCUGCCCAGCAUGAGGGAAGCCCUGGGUUCCAUCCUCAGCGCAAGCG